RNAcentral lists this ribosomal RNA (391 nucleotides) under uncultured bacterium. Its description in RNAcentral is "bacterial SSU rRNA". It matches the Rfam family "Bacterial small subunit ribosomal RNA", at positions 28 to 420 of the family's 1533-position model. The record is from RNAcentral.
GACGAACGCUGGCGGCGUGCUUAACACAUGCAAGUCGAGCGGUCAGGCCCUUUCGGGGGUACACGAGCGGCGAACGGGUGAGUAACACGUGGGUGACCUGCCCUCAGCUCUGGGAUAAGCCUGGGAAACCGGGUCUAAUACCGGAUAUGACUCCAUGACGCAUGUUGUGGGGUGGAAAGCCUUGUGCGGCUGAGGAUGGGCCCGCGGCCUAUCAGCUUGUUGGUGGGGUGANGGCCUACCAAGGCGACGACGGGUAGCCGGCCUGAGAGGGCGACCGGCCACACUGGGACUGAGACACGGCCCAGACUCCUACGGGAGGCAGCAGUGGGGAAUCUUGCGCAAUGGGCGAAAGCCUGACGCAGCGACGCCGCGUGAGGGAUGACGGCCUCGG